GAUGAACGCUAGCGCUAGGCUUAACACAUGCAAGUCGAGGGGCAGCAUGGUCUUAGCUUGCUAAGACUGAUGGCGACCGGCGCACGGGUGCGUAACGCGUAUGCAACUUGCCUCACAGAGGGGGAUAACCCGUCGAAAGACGGACUAAUACCGCGUACACUUGGGAUAGGGCAUCCUGACCCAAGGAAAUGAAAUUCGCUGUGAGAUAGGCAUGCGUCCCAUUAGCUAGUUGGUGAGGUAACGGCUCACCAAGGCGACGAUGGGUAGGGGAACUGAGAGGUUGAACCCCCACACUGGUACUGAGACACGGACCAGACUCCUACGGGAGGCAGCAGUGAGGAAUAUUGGUCAAUGGGCGAGAGCCUGAACCAGCCAAGUCGCGUGAAGGAUGACUGUCUUAUGGAUUGUAAACUUCUUUUAUACGGGAAUAACAAGAGCCACGUGUGGCUCCCUGCAUGUACCGGAUGAAUAAGCAUCGGCUAACUCCGUG
Molecule: ribosomal RNA, 490 nt
Filed under: uncultured bacterium
Lineage: Bacteria
Description: partial 16S ribosomal RNA
Rfam family: Bacterial small subunit ribosomal RNA
Source: RNAcentral